GACGAACGCUGGCGGCGUGCUUAACACAUGCAAGUCGAGCGGUAAGGCCCUUUCGGGGGUACACGAGCGGCGAACGGGUGAGUAACACGUGGGUGACCUGCCCUCAGCUCUGGGAUAAGCCUGGGAAACUGGGUCUAAUACUGGAUAUGACUCCACGGUGCAUGUCGUGGGGUGGAAAGCCUUGUGCGGCUGAGGAUGGGCCCGCGGCCUAUCAGCUUGUUGGGGGGUGAUGGCCUACCAAGGCGACGACGGGUAGCCGGCCUGAGAGGGCGACCGGCCACACUGGGACUGAGACACGGCCCAGACUCCUACGGGAGGCAGCAGUGGGGAAUCUUGCGCAAUGGGCGAAAGCCUGACGCAGCGACGCCGCGUGAGGGAUGACGG
This 384-nucleotide ribosomal RNA is filed under the name uncultured bacterium. RNAcentral describes it as "bacterial SSU rRNA". It matches the Rfam family "Bacterial small subunit ribosomal RNA", at positions 28 to 414 of the family's 1533-position model. The record is from RNAcentral.